RNAcentral lists this ribosomal RNA (471 nucleotides) under uncultured organism. RNAcentral describes it as "partial 16S ribosomal RNA". It matches the Rfam family "Bacterial small subunit ribosomal RNA", at positions 334 to 797 of the family's 1533-position model. The record is from RNAcentral.
CACUCCUACGGGAGGCAGCAGUGGGGAAUUUUGGACAAUGGGCGAAAGCCUGAUCCAGCAAUGCCGCGUGAGUGAAGAAGGCCUUCGGGUUGUAAAGCUCUUUUGUCAGGGAAGAAACGGUGAGAGCUAAUAUCUUUUGCUAAUGACGGUACCUGAAGAAUAAGCACCGGCUAACUACGUGCCAGCAGCCGCGGUAAUACGUAGGGUGCAAGCGUUAAUCGGAAUUACUGGGCGUAAAGCGUGCGCAGGCGGUUUUGUAAGUCUGAUGUGAAAUCCCCGGGCUCAACCUGGGAAUUGCAUUGGGGACUGCAAGGCUAGAAUCUGGCAGAGGGGGGUAGAAUUCCACGUGUAGCAGUGAAAUGCGUAGAUAUGUGGAGGAACACCGAUGGCGAAGGCAGCCCCCUGGGUCAAGAUUGACGCUCAUGCACGAAAGCGUGGGGAGCAAACAGGAUUAGAUACCCUUGUAGUCCC